Molecule: RNA transcript, 3452 nt
Organism: Catharus ustulatus (Swainson's thrush)
Lineage: Eukaryota; Metazoa; Chordata; Aves; Passeriformes; Turdidae
Gene: RELL1
Gene name: RELT like 1
Exons: 8
Source: RefSeq, a predicted model, not a curated record
GCCAGCGCGGAGCAGCGCGGGCGAGGCGUCGGGAAUGGCUCCGGCAGCGACCGGCGGGAUCCCGCCGACUACGCCAGCGCCGGGCCUGACGGGUGACUGGCUGGGCAACAGCUCCGUUCCUGGUGGAGAGGUUCCGUGGGUUUUGUCAAGCCGUGGCUUACAGACAACUACUUUGGCAACUAAAAUGGAUGGCAAUGAUGGCAAGGCUGAACACCUAGAGUAUAUUGCCUUUGCUUUGGUUCCUAUUUUCUUCAUCAUGGGUCUCUUGGGGAUCCUUAUCUGCCAUAUCCUUAAGAAAAAAGGAUAUCGUUGUACAACAGAAGCUGAAGAAAUAGAAGAAGAAAAAAUAGAUGAAAAAAUAGAACUGAAUGAAACUAUACAUGAGAAUAGUGACACUGUGGGACAAAUUGUUAACUACAUCAUGAAAAAUGAAGCAAAUGCUGAUGUGUUAAAGGCCAUGGUAGCAGAUAGCAGUGUCUUUGAACCUGAAAGCCCAUUAUCUCCUACCUCUCCUGAGAGUCCAGUGAGUCCAGGGACUCCUUUGUCACCAGGUGUUGUUCCAUUCAGACACAACUGCAAAGCCCAUCACUUCCACACUGUUGGAGGAGUGGUAGAAAAGGAUGUUUGUACUCGCUGUAGUCACAAGCGAUGGCACCUUAUAAAGCCAGCUCAAAAAUCCAAAGAGAACAGGAGAAGUCGUAUUGGAGAAGUUACAGUCCUUUCUGUGGGAAGAUUUCGGGUCACAAAAGUAGAUCACAAAUCAAACUCCAAAGAACGGAAAAGCUUGAUGUCCGUUACUGGCGUGGAGAGUGUCAAUGGUGAGAUGCCUGCCACGCCUGCAAAACAGGAUGUGAGUGAAGCACCUGCCACACCUGUGGAACAGGACAUGCAAGAGAGGAGAAGCUCAGAGUAAAUGCAGAUCUGUGGAGCUUUGACUAAUAGCAAUGGAGUCACAUGAAACUGCUGAUCUCACAGGGAUCUGAAUAAGGUUGGGGUUUUCUUGUGGAACUUUUAGAAGAAGAUUGUCUGCAAGCACUUAGGAGAAAAAUGAAAACUCCCAAGAGAUACAUAAUAUUUAAGGAAAUGUAUUUAAGGCAAUGUAGCAUUUUACAGAUUCUGUGAUGUCAUUCCUGCAAGGUUAAACACUUAGUGGUUUUUGACCAGUAAAAUAGUGAGUUUUAGACACUUAAAUACUGUUGAGCUGUAUGGACAUCAUAACGAAUGGCUUCAUCUUGGAAAGAAAACACGUACAAGUUUUUGGACAGGGAAGGUAAAGGCUUUAUCAAGCCUUAAACUUUUUUUGUACUUAAACAAGCAAUGAUGAGCUCAAUAUUAAGAGUAAUACAAUUACCUCGUGGAUAAACUGCAUUCUUCCCCAGUGGUCCGUCUGGAUUUUUCUUCUCCCCACUCCUGAAUUGAAAAAUAUUUACUGAAGAAUAAAGCCAGCCUUUGAAAGAUGAAAAUAUUCUUUUAAUCUAACUGGUUGUAGCCAAGUAAAACAUACAUGGAAGUAAUUAUGUCAACCAAAUAUGCAUGUGUGCCUUUAGUACAUAAGCCCUCAAACUCUGUGCAGAGUACCUCACAGUAGAGACUGGUUCAGUUAUAUGCAGUUGUUAAAUUCAGUUGUUGUUCCCCAGACCUGUACUUUCCCCUUAAUACUUAACAUAGGCUGAAGAGCAUCUUUUCUUACACAGUUGGAUGAGCUCUUGUGAGGUUACUUUCCUCAAGGCCUUGUGUUCUCCUGUUUUCGUGUAACUGCUUACUCAUAUUUGAAGAGUGCCUAAUAGUUCUGCUUUUCUUUUUUUUUGUUCUUACCCACAGGUUCCUUAUUAAGCUAAGGCAACAUAUUUCAACCCUUAGAUAAGGAAAUGGAAUAUUGGGCAUUAAAAAAUGUAUGGAAUAUAUACUAAAGUGCUUCAGAGUGGCUUUAUUGGACUGAGGGUAGUUGUAUUCAUUGGCACCAAAAUCUUAAACCAGUGUCACUCCUUUCAUAUUUUAAGUGUGUCUUAAUGCUAAAAUGACCAUGGUAUUGUGAUGUUAAUUCUCUGUAUCUGCUUAUGAUCUUGGCUUUGUACUGUUACUUGUUUUUGGGAGGGAAAUCUUUGUAAUACUUCAACAAACUUUUCUGUGUAGUAGAAAAUCAUAUAAUUUGUUCUAAGUGCCUAAGAAUAUAAUGCAUUUUAGAGAUUGCACUAUAUUCUGAGAACUAUAACUUAAUCUUUAUGAACUCAGUGUAUGUUUUUGAAAUAGAUUUAUUUUAAAUUGAUACCUUCAUUCUUUUUAAUAUAAGUGCUCUAAAUUUUGUUUCUCCUUCAUAUCUGGGAAUUGUGUUUCUUCAUUCUUCAUCGAUUUAUGUGUUAACAAUCAGUGUGUACAAAAUUGUUCUUCUUGCUUGUGUAUUAAUUACUCCCAUGUCUUGUCAGGAAACAUCAGGUUUUUUCACUCUUGCUGCAAGUACGUGCUGCUGAUGGUCUUCCUUUUGUCUGUAUCCACAAGAUACUGACUGGUCCUGUCAAUAUGUACUUUUCAGCGAUGCCAUAUUUGCCAUAAAAACCCGCCACUACCCACCCAAACUUUGAAAAUAAUAAAUGUUUUAUUGUUCUUUUUAAAAUGGAUAUUCUUAGAGAUAAUUGCCUGUCCUUGAGAACCCAAAAUAACUGACCGCGACUCUAACUUCAGUGUUUAGCACUGCUCCCUGCUCCCAUAAAUUUAAAAUCAGCUUGUGAAAUCUCUUCAGUAUUUAAGUACAACAUAACAUAAACACCAUCCUCAUCUUACAGGAAUACAUUAAGCUUCACAUGAUUAUUUGUGUGAAGAAUAUUUCUAGAAAAUGUAAUUAGUAUUGGUUGUAAUAGUAAGCAUUCAGUUUCCAAGAGAUUGAUAGCUUUGAGUAUAAAAUGUUGCUGGAAAAAGGGAGCAUUGGAGGAAACAGCAGUUUUCAAAUAAUUUUCAGAAGGAAGAUACAGAGUGUCCCCAAAGCUUUUUCUAAAAAAAGGGCAGUUUGUCUUGAUACUGUAUUUUGAUGCAUGAUGGUUUAGUACUGCAAAUGAAUGACAAAAGGAUGGAAUAAAGUUUAAACAGUAAUAUGUAUUUUUUUACUUAUUUUAAAAGGAAUUUCUAUUUUGAUUGCAUUGAAAAUACAUGGAAUAAAAGGGAUGGAAAGAUGUUGUAUAUGUAAAACAUUGUUUACCUGUAUAAAGUAAUUAUGUAAGGUAUUAUAAGACCCGAUAUGUGCAAGAAUUGAAUUGAUGCAUUGCUACUUAAGUAAGAGAGGAUUUAGAAACUGUGCCUGUUUUAUUGCCUUUAACACUACACUGCUAUUUUGUAGGGGUAUGGAUACUGCCAUAUUAGUCUGCUUUUCUUAAAUUUGCUUAUCAAAUGUAUUUUUAACAAAAUAGUUUAUAUACAACUUUUAUACUACCAAGCAGUAAAUAAAAAAUAUUGAUUCUUAA